RNAcentral lists this transfer RNA (72 nucleotides) under Chelonia mydas (Green sea turtle). It matches the Rfam family "tRNA". From Rfam's summary of the family: Transfer RNA (tRNA) molecules are approximately 80 nucleotides in length. Lineage: Eukaryota; Metazoa; Chordata; Testudines; Cheloniidae. The record is from Rfam by way of RNAcentral.
AACAGUGUGGCCUAGUGGAUAGAGCACUGGAGUGGGACUCAGAAGACCUGGGUUCUAUUCCCAGCUCUGCCA